UUUGUGGUCGUGCUGUUUUCUUCUUUGCCCUUUUCCCCUCCACCAGUGUCCUUCCCAGCUCGAAUUUCCUUCAUUUUUGCGGCCUCCUCAAUGCAUCCAGUACACGAUCGAACCUGGUUUAUGGGAAACAAGACCAUCAUGCACAGACAAUAGUGCACCGAAAACUCUGAAUGACGCAAGACCGCGAGGUGUCUUGCUUCCAAAAA
Molecule: long non-coding RNA, 206 nt
Filed under: Hordeum vulgare
Lineage: Eukaryota; Viridiplantae; Streptophyta; Magnoliopsida; Poales; Poaceae
Description: long non-coding RNA (HVUL_LNC002836)
Source: RNAcentral